This 366-nucleotide ribosomal RNA is filed under the name uncultured bacterium. RNAcentral's name for it is "bacterial SSU rRNA". It matches the Rfam family "Bacterial small subunit ribosomal RNA", at positions 441 to 793 of the family's 1533-position model. The record is from RNAcentral.
AGGAAGGUAGUGCAGUUAACACCUGCAUUAUUUGACGUUACCUACACGAAGAAGCACCGGCUAACUCCGUGCCAGCAGCCGCGGUAAUACGGAGGGUGCGAGCGUUAAUCGGAAUUACUGGGCGUAAAGACGCAUGCAGCGGCCUGUUAAGUCAGAUGUGAAAGACCCGGGGCGUUAACCUACCGGAAUUGCAUUUGUAAACUAGGCAGGCUAGAGUCUUGUAGAGGGGGGUAGGAAGUUUCAGGUGUAGCGGUGAAAUGCGUAGAGAUCUGAAGGAAUACCAGUGGCGAAGGCGGCCCCCUCGGACAAAGACUGACGCUCAGAUGCGAAAGCGUGGGGAGCAAACAGGAUUAGAUACCCUGGUAG